AAAUUGAAGAGUUUGAUCAUGGCUCAGAUUGAACGCUGGCGGCAGGCCUAACACAUGCAAGUCGAACGGUAACAGGAAACAGCUUGCUGUUUCGCUGACGAGUGGCGGACGGGUGAGUAAUGUCUGGGAAACUGCCUGAUGGAGGGGGAUAACUACUGGAAACGGUAGCUAAUACCGCAUAACGUCGCAAGACCAAAGAGGGGGACCUUCGGGCCUCUUGCCAUCGGAUGUGCCCAGAUGGGAUUAGCUAGUAGGUGGGGUAACGGCUCACCUAGGCGACGAUCCCUAGCUGGUCUGAGAGGAUGACCAGCCACACUGGAACUGAGACACGGUCCAGACUCCUACGGGAGGCAGCAGUGGGGAAUAUUGCACAAUGGGCGCAAGCCUGAUGCAGCCAUGCCGCGUGUAUGAAGAAGGCCUUCGGGUUGUAAAGUACUUUCAGCGGGGAGGAAGGGAGUAAAGUUAAUACCUUUGCUCAUUGACGUUACCCGCAGAAGAAGCACCGGCUAACUCCGUGCCAGCAGCCGCGGUAAUACGGAGGGUGCAAGCGUUAAUCGGAAUUACUGGGCGUAAAGCGCACGCAGGCGGUUUGUU
This 594-nucleotide ribosomal RNA is filed under the name Escherichia coli. Its description in RNAcentral is "bacterial SSU rRNA". It matches the Rfam family "Bacterial small subunit ribosomal RNA", at positions 1 to 584 of the family's 1533-position model. Lineage: Bacteria; Pseudomonadati; Pseudomonadota; Gammaproteobacteria; Enterobacterales; Enterobacteriaceae. The record is from RNAcentral.